Molecule: ribosomal RNA, 433 nt
Filed under: uncultured bacterium
Lineage: Bacteria
Description: partial 16S ribosomal RNA
Rfam family: Bacterial small subunit ribosomal RNA
Source: RNAcentral
AGCGAACGCUGGCGGCAGGCUUAACACAUGCAAGUCGAGCGGACCUUUCGGGGUCAGCGGCGGACGGGUGAGUAACGCGUGGGAACGUGCCUUCCGGUUCGGAAUAACCCUGGGAAACUAGGGCUAAUACCGGAUACGCCCUUAUGGGGAAAGGUUUACUGCCGGAAGAUCGGCCCGCGUCUGAUUAGCUAGUUGGUGGGGUAACGGCCUACCAAGGCGACGAUCAGUAGCUGGUCUGAGAGGAUGAUCAGCCACACUGGGACUGAGACACGGCCCAGACUCCUCCGGGAGGCAGCGGUGGGGAAUAUUAGACAAUGGGCGCAACCCUGAUCCAGCCAUGCCGCGUGAGUGAUGAAGGCCUUAGGUUUGUAAAGCUCUUUUAGCCGGGAAGAUAAUGACGGUACCAGAAGAAGAAGCCCGGGCUAACUCCGUG